RNAcentral lists this ribosomal RNA (492 nucleotides) under uncultured bacterium. Its description in RNAcentral is "partial 16S ribosomal RNA". It matches the Rfam family "Bacterial small subunit ribosomal RNA", at positions 29 to 507 of the family's 1533-position model. The record is from RNAcentral.
AGUGAACGCUGGCGGUAGGCCUAAUACAUGCAAGUCGAACGGCAGGACAGUAAGAUUUUGCUUCUACUGGUGGCGAGUGGCGGACGGGUGAGGCAUACAUCGGCUUCCACUUUUACGUGGGUGAUUACGUAGGGCAACUUACGCUAAUACCGCAUACGAUCUACGGCUGAAAGCAGGAGAUCUUCGCACUUUUCGCGUUUGAAUGAGCCGAUGUCGGAUUAGCUAGUUGGCGAGGUAAAGGCCCACCAAGGCGACGAUCCGUAGCUGGUCUGAGAGGAUGAUCGGCCACACUGGAACUGAGACACGGUCCAGACUCCUACGGGAGGCAGCAGUGGGGAAUAUUGGACAAUGGGCGAAAGCCUGAUGCAGCAAUGCCGCGUGAGUGAAGAAGGCCUUCGGGUUGUAAAGCCCUGUUGUUGGGAAAGAAAAGCAGCGGGUGAAAACCCGGCUGUUCUGACGGUACCCAAACAGAAAGCAACGGCUAACUUCGUG